GCUUACGGCCAUACCACUCUGAAAAGCCUGAUCUCAUCUGACCUCGGAAGCAAAGCAGAGCUGGGCCUGUUUAGUACUUGGUUGGGGAGACUGAAUGGGAUACUAGGUGCUGUAAGCU
Ictalurus punctatus (channel catfish) is the source of this 118-nucleotide ribosomal RNA. NCBI's taxonomy places the organism in Eukaryota, Metazoa, Chordata, Actinopteri, Siluriformes, Ictaluridae. The record is from Ensembl.